Canis lupus familiaris (dog) is the source of this 117-nucleotide non-coding RNA. NCBI's taxonomy places the organism in Eukaryota, Metazoa, Chordata, Mammalia, Carnivora, Canidae. The record is from Rfam.
GUCUACGGCCAUACCACCCUGAACGCACCUGAUCUCGUCUGAUCUCGGAAGCUAAGCAGGGUCGGGCCUGGUUAGUACUUGGAUGAAAAUGCACUAGUAUAGUUCAGAAAGUAAACA